GACGAACGCUGGCGGCGUGCUUAACACAUGCAAGUCGAACGAUGAACCCGGAGCUUGCUCUGGGGGAUUAGUGGCGAACGGGUGAGUAACACGUGAGUAACCUGCCCUGGACUCUGGGAUAAGCGUUGGAAACGACGUCUAAUACCGGAUAGGACCUUGGAUCGCAUGAUCUGGGGUGGAAAGUUUUUUCGGUCUGGGAUGGACUCGCGGCCUAUCAGCUUGUUGGUGAGGUAAUGGCUCACCAAGGCGUCGACGGGUAGCCGGCCUGAGAGGGUGACCGGCCACACUGAGACUGAGACACGGCCCAGACUCCUACGGGAGGCAGCAGUGGGGAAUAAUGCACAAUGGGCGAAAGCCCGAUGCAGCAGCGCCGCGGGCGGGAUGACGGCCUUCGGGUUGUAAACCGCUUUUAGUAGGGAAGAAGGGCUUCGGCUUGACGGGACCUGCAGAAAAAAGACCGGCGAACUACGU
RNAcentral lists this ribosomal RNA (471 nucleotides) under uncultured bacterium. RNAcentral's name for it is "partial 16S ribosomal RNA". It matches the Rfam family "Bacterial small subunit ribosomal RNA", at positions 28 to 506 of the family's 1533-position model. The record is from RNAcentral.